AACCCAAUGUGAACGUUACCAAACUGUUGCCUCGGCGGGAUCUCUGCCCCGGGUGCGUCGCAGCCCCGGACCAAGGCGCCCGCCGGAGGACCAACCUAAAACUCUUUUUGUAUACCCCCUCGCGGGUUUUUUAUAAUCUGAGCCUUCUCGGCGCCUCUCGUAGGCGUUUCGAAAAUGAAUCAAAACUUUCAACAACGGAUCUCUUGGUUCUGGCAUCGAUGAAGAACGCAGCGAAAUGCGAUAAGUAAUGUGAAUUGCAGAAUUCAGUGAAUCAUCGAAUCUUUGAACGCACAUUGCGCCCGCCAGUAUUCUGGCGGGCAUGCCUGUCCGAGCGUCAUUUCAACCCUCGAACCCCUCCGGGGGGUCGGCGUUGGGGAUCGGCCCUCCCUUAGCGGGUGGCCGUCUCCGAAAUACAGUGGCGGUCUCGCCGCAGCCUCUCCUGCGCAGUAGUUUGCACACUCGCAUCGGGAGCGCGGCGCGUCCACAGCCGUUAAACACCCAACUUCUGAAAUGUUGACCUCGGAUCAGGUAGGAAUACCCGCUGAACUUAAGCAU
This 555-nucleotide ribosomal RNA is filed under the name Trichoderma harzianum. Its description in RNAcentral is "eukaryotic LSU rRNA". The stretch from base 184 to 337 matches the Rfam family "5.8S ribosomal RNA". Lineage: Eukaryota; Fungi; Ascomycota; Sordariomycetes; Hypocreales; Hypocreaceae. The record is from RNAcentral.